This 28-nucleotide small RNA is filed under the name Bombyx mori (domestic silkworm). Its description in RNAcentral is "ovarian small RNA-29116". The record is from RNAcentral. Lineage: Eukaryota; Metazoa; Arthropoda; Insecta; Lepidoptera; Bombycidae.
UCGUAGACGUUCAUGUGAUCGAAUGCGG